UACGAAGGUGGCUAGCGUUGUUCGGUGUCACUGGGCUUAAAGCGCUCGUAGGCGGAACCGUAAGUGUCUUGUGAAAUCCCCCGGCUCAACCGGGGAAUGGCUAGGCAUACUGCGGUUCUUGAGGCAAACAGGGGUGCAUGGAACUCUUGGUGGAGCGGUGGAAUGCGUAGAUAUCAAGAGGAACGCCGAUGGUGAAGACAAUGCACUGGGUUUGUCCUGACGCUGAGGAGCGAAAGCGUGGGGAGCAAACAGG
This 253-nucleotide ribosomal RNA is filed under the name uncultured bacterium. RNAcentral's name for it is "partial 16S ribosomal RNA". It matches the Rfam family "Bacterial small subunit ribosomal RNA", at positions 524 to 776 of the family's 1533-position model. The record is from RNAcentral.